UAGGGAAUCUUCCGCAAUGGGCGAAAGCCUGACGGAGCAACGCCGCGUGAGUGAUGAAGGUCUUCGGAUCGUAAAACUCUGUUAUUAGGGAAGAACAAAUGUGUAAGUAACUAUGCACAUCUUGACGGUACCUAACCAGAAAGCCACGGCUAACUACGUGCCAGCAGCCGCGGUAAUACGUAGGUGGCAAGCGUUGUCCGGAUUUAUUGGGCGUAAAGCGAGCGCAGGCGGUCAAUUAAGUCUGAUGUGAAAGCCCCCGGCUCAACCGGGGAGGGUCAUUGGAAACUGGUUGACUUGAGUGCAGAAGAGGAGAGUGGAAUUCCAUGUGUAGCGGUGAAAUGCGUAGAUAUAUGGAGGAACACCAGUGGCGAAGGCGACUCUCUGGUCUGUAACUGACGCUGAGGUUCGAAAGCGUGGGUAGCAAACAGG
RNAcentral lists this ribosomal RNA (429 nucleotides) under Bacteroidota bacterium. RNAcentral's name for it is "Bacteroidetes bacterium partial 16S ribosomal RNA". It matches the Rfam family "Bacterial small subunit ribosomal RNA", at positions 355 to 776 of the family's 1533-position model. Lineage: Bacteria; Pseudomonadati; Bacteroidota. The record is from RNAcentral.